RNAcentral lists this long non-coding RNA (3292 nucleotides) under Marmota monax (woodchuck). Lineage: Eukaryota; Metazoa; Chordata; Mammalia; Rodentia; Sciuridae. The record is from RNAcentral.
AACAGUUCCACAGUGGUAAUGUUCUUUGGUCAUUGAUUGGAUCAAUGAAGUUGCUGCUGGGGCCUUACAGUAUCUGACAGAGCCUCCAUUUAGUGAGCACAUACUCUGUGCAGAGGCACUUUACAUGGUUUCUCUCAGGCCUCAUAACACCAUGAAGAGAUGGGGAAUAUAAUUCCCAUUUCCCAGCUAGGGAAACGGAGGCUCAGAGACAUGAAGCCACUUGCUUAAGCCAGGUGUGACCAGCUCCAGACUCAUGCCCUGUUGUCUAUGUUGGAGUCAAACUGAAUUGGAGGCCAUAAUUCUGCCUCAUUUUCCCCAGCAUUCCUAUUCCUGGGCUUCCUGAGAGGGUCUCAGCUGUCAGCCAGAUGGUUCUGAGGCCCAGGGCCUGCAGCUACCUCUGUAACCAGUUCCUUCCUCCUUGCAACAUGGUGAGUAGGUGAUAUAACCUCAGCAUGGAGAGGACUAUGUGUGUACACGUGUGUGUCCGUGUGUGCUGGCAACAGCAUAAAGGAAACAGCAUUAGUCUUCUCCAUUCCCACCAUCACAGCCUCAUCGACUCUUCCUUCACAUCUCUCAGGAAUGUGGACCCUUUCCACCCAGGGUACAGCACAUUUCUGAGAGGAAUCAUAAUAUCCCCCUUGUCCCUGUGCAUUGCCAGAGAGGUUUCUGGAAGCCAUUUUGGGGACUUGUCCUCAAAACACAUAAUGUCUAUAUAAUAUGGUAACAACUAGGUUAAAAAAAUCUUUUUUUUUUCCUCUUGUGUUGGAGAUCAAACCCACUGAGUAUACCUCCAGCCCCAUUAAAAAUAAGAUUGUAAAGGGGAAAAAAAAAAGCAAAGAAAUGUGGUUAUGAGUGUUUUUUUUUCCUUUAUUUUCAAAAUUUUCUGUACUGUGGCUUUCUUAUUUUUAUAAUUAAAUUUAUGAAAAAUGCAGUGGAUCGAACAAAUAAUCUGUUGCUUCUCUGUGAGAAACAAUAAUAAUACUGCAUUUCCAAGGAGGUUUUUAAAAAUUACCUUUAUAAUUAAAAUUUUGGUAGAAUCUACAUAAAAUUUACCGUCUUAAACCUUUUGAGGGUACAGUUCAUUGUCAUUAAGUACUUUCACGUGGUUGUGAAACCAUCAUCACUGUUCUUCCAGACUUUUUCAUUGUCCUAAACUGAAAUCCUAUAUCCACGGCUGUCCUUGCCCUCCUCCUUUAGCAGCCACCAUUCCGCCUCUGUGACUUUGAGCAUUUGAUACCUCUUGUAAAUGGGAUCAUACAAUUCUUGCCCUUUUGUGUGUGUGGCUUUUUUUACUUGACAUAAUGUCUUCGGAUUUUACCUUUGUCAUGGUAUAUAUUAAGGUUGGCUUCCUUCUUAAGGCUGAGUAAUAUCCCAAUUGUGUAUAUCUAUCUAUAGCUCUAUCUUUCUCUCCCUCUAUAUCUAUACCUUUACAUUACAUCUUGUUUUUCUCCAUUCAUCCAUCAAUGGCCAGUUGGGUUGUUUCUGCCUUUUGGCUAUUGUUUAAACUAAUGCUGCUAAGAAAUUGGUUUACAGAUAUUGAGUCCUUGCUUUCCAUUCUUUUGGAAUUGAAAUUCUAAAUCCCAAAUUGGAAUUCAAUUUCAAAUUCUUUUGGAAUGUGCUUAGAAGUGGAAUUGCUGCCAAGGAGCAUUCUAGAACUCAUUUCUGGAACUUUUGAUAGUUUAAAUGGUUACUGGGGAUUGAACCCAGGAGUGCUUAACCACUGAACCUCAUCCCAGCCCCUUUUAUUUUUUAUUUUUUUUAGUUGAUGGAUACUAUACCUUUAUUUUAUUUAUUUAUUUUUAUGUGGUGCUGAGGUUUGAAACCAGUGCCUCACACUUGCUAGGCAAGCACUCUGCCACUGAGCCCCAACUGCAGCCUCCCCAGCCCUUUUUAUUUAUUAUUAUUAUUUUUAUUUAUUAAUUUUUAAAGUUUUGGAUAUUUAUUUUUUAGUUGUAAAAUAAAUAUUAUUUAUUUUUAUGUGAUGCUGAGGAUCGAACCCAGGGCCUUGCACGUGCUAGGCGAGUGCUCUACCACUGAGCCACAACCCCAGCCCCCUUUAUUUUUUAUUUUGAGACAGGGUCUCACUAAUUGCUCAGGGCUUUGGUAAGUUGCUGAGGCUGGCACUGAGGUUGGUUAUCACCUCCAACAAUCUUUUACUCUGAUUCCACCUCUCCUUCCUGGAGGACCUCGAGCGACAUCAGGAGUCACUAUUGAUGAGAAGAUGGGUGAAUGUUUCUGAGAUUUUGUUUAAUCUUCAGAAAGUUAUAGUUAAUGAUUUCCACAUCAAGGGUUGCCCAGCAUACCACCAAUUUUGAAUUUAAAGCAGAGCAAAUAAAUGUGAACAAAUAAAUGUGUUUUGUUCAUAAAAAUUGUGCUUAUAAUUGUGGUAUAUAUACACAAUGGAAAGUUACUCAGCCAUAAAGAAGAAUGACUUUAUGACAUUUGCCAGUAAAUGGAUGGAUCUGGAGACUGUCAUGCUAAGUGAAAUAAGCCAGCCCCCAAAACCAAAGGUCAAAUGUUUUUGCUGAUGUGUGGAUGCUAACCCACACUAAAGUAGGGGGGGAGAGGAAGAAGAGAAGUUCAUAGAUUAGACAAAGGGGAAUGAAUGGAAGGGAGGGGGAUUAGGCAGAGGAAAGACAGUAGAAUAAAUCUAACAUAAUUUUCCUAUGUACACAUAUGAAAAUACCUAAGUAACUCCCACCGUCGUGCCUACCCACAAGAAUGAGGUCCUAAUUAGAAUAAUAUAUAUCCCAUGCUUGUAUAAUUUUAUCAAAAUACAUUCUACUGUCAUGUAUAAGUAGGAAGAACCAAUAAAAAAAUGGAAUUGAAAUACAGGGAAAAAAUCAUGUUUACUACUCAGUAAUUAUGUGAUUUUACUUAAUCAAAUAAUCUUUGCUUCAAGUGUUUCCUAGCCAAGUAUAAAAUGUCUUGAGAAGUACAAAAAUGAUAGAAGAUGUGAAAGAACUCUGAGAAACGUAGAAGAAACACCAAUGAAAGAUUGGAGAUGAAAGACUGCAAUGUGGAAGCCAAGCCAUACAUUAAGAAAGAUGGACAGACAGUGUUGGAAAAAGAACAGCAACUCCUGGGUACAAGAUGACUGUUCCCUAGAAAUGCUGGUUGGGUAAUCAGUAGUCUGACUAAUGUGGAAGAUCACAGCCCAGUAAAAAUGUGUUAUGGCUGAGUGUCUUGCAGUGCAAGCUGGUGCAAAUUAAGUGCUAAACACAUAAAAUAAAUAUAUGAAACUAGUUGUAUGUGCUGUAACUCACACUGCUGCAGGAGCUUUUAAAAGUUG